This 66-nucleotide transfer RNA is filed under the name marine eukaryotic metagenome. It matches the Rfam family "tRNA", at positions 5 to 66 of the family's 71-position model. Rfam says of the family: Transfer RNA (tRNA) molecules are approximately 80 nucleotides in length. Their secondary structure includes four short double-helical elements and three loops (D, anti-codon, and T loops). The record is from RNAcentral.
CCGUAGCUCAGUGGUAGAGCACUCGGCUCAUAACCGAUUGGUCGCAGGUUCGAACCCUGCCGGGCC